RNAcentral lists this ribosomal RNA (637 nucleotides) under uncultured organism. Its description in RNAcentral is "bacterial SSU rRNA". It matches the Rfam family "Bacterial small subunit ribosomal RNA", at positions 43 to 726 of the family's 1533-position model. The record is from RNAcentral.
CAGGCCUAACACAUAGCAGUCGAGCGGUCCCUUCUUAGGCAGCGGCGGACGGGUGAGUAACGCGUGGGAACGUGCCCAGAGGUGGGGAACAACCGCUGGAAACGGCGGAGAAGAGCCCAUACGCCCUACGGGGGAAAGAUUAUCGCCUUUGGAUCGGCCCGCGUCUGAUUAGGUAGUUGGUGGGGUAACGGCCUACCAAGCCGACGAUCAGUACCUGGUUUGAGAGGAUGAUCAGGCACACUGAGACUGAGACACGGCCCAGACUCCUACGGGAGGCAGCAGUGGGGAAUCAUAGACGAGGGGGGAAACCCUGAUCUUGCCAUGCCGCGUGAGCGAAGAAGGCCUUAGGGUUGUAAAGCUCUUUCACCGGGGAAGAUAAUGACGGUACCCGGAGAAGAAGCCCCGGCUAACUCCGUGCCAGCAGCCGCGGUAAUACGGAGGGGGCUAGCGUUGUUCGGAAUUACUGGGCGUAAAGCGCACGUAGGCGGAUUGUUAAGUCGGGGGUGAAAUCCCGGGGCUCAGCCCCGGAACUGCCUUCGAUACUGGCAAUCUGGAGGUCGAGAGAGGUGAGUGGAAUGGCGAGUGUAGAGGUGAAAUUCGUAGGAUAUUCGCCGGAACACCAGUGGCGAAGGCGGCU